CGUUACCAGCGGAGGCCACGAGGAGGCGGAGCUGCCAGCAUGUAGCUCGGUCCCAGCAGAUUUUUUCCCAACACGCGAUUUGGCGCGUAGAUAGCUACAAUUGUAUAAAACUAACUAAAGUAAUUUUAAACCUCGAGAAAAUUUCCGAAAUACCAAAAAUCUCCAAUGAAGCGGCUCAACCACGGUGGAACCUACUACGAGUAGACUUCAUUUCUGCCAACAAACAAGAGAUCCAUAAGGUGGCGCACCUUUUCCCAAAG
Molecule: unclassified non-coding RNA, 260 nt
Filed under: Bombus terrestris (buff-tailed bumblebee)
Lineage: Eukaryota; Metazoa; Arthropoda; Insecta; Hymenoptera; Apidae
Description: misc RNA ENSBTSG00005034313.1
Source: RNAcentral